This 72-nucleotide transfer RNA is filed under the name Loxodonta africana (African savanna elephant). It matches the Rfam family "tRNA". Rfam says of the family: Transfer RNA (tRNA) molecules are approximately 80 nucleotides in length. Their secondary structure includes four short double-helical elements and three loops (D, anti-codon, and T loops). The record is from Rfam by way of RNAcentral. Lineage: Eukaryota; Metazoa; Chordata; Mammalia; Proboscidea; Elephantidae.
GCCCUGGUGGCGGAAUGGUUAAGGGCUCAGUUGCUAACAGAGAGGUCGGUGGUUCGAACCCACCCAGCGGCU